This 253-nucleotide ribosomal RNA is filed under the name uncultured bacterium. RNAcentral's name for it is "partial 16S ribosomal RNA". It matches the Rfam family "Bacterial small subunit ribosomal RNA", at positions 524 to 776 of the family's 1533-position model. The record is from RNAcentral.
UACGUACUGUGCGAACGUUAUUCGGAAUCACUGGGCUUAAAGGGUGCGUAGGCGGCCAAUUAAGUAGGGUGUGAAAUACCUCGGCUCAACCGGGGCAUUGCGCUCUAAACUGCUUGGCUUGAGUGAGAUAGGGGUGUGCGGAACUUCCAGUGGAGCGGUGAAAUGUGUUGAUAUUGGAAGGAACGCCGGUGGCGAAAGCGGCACACUGGGUCUUAACUGACGCUGAGGCACGAAAGCCAGGGGAGCGAACGGG